GCCUUCGUGGUGUAAUUGGAAGUAUACUCAAAUCGUAUUCGAGAGGUCCAGGGUUCGAGUCCCGGCGAGGGCA
RNAcentral lists this transfer RNA (73 nucleotides) under Stegodyphus mimosarum. It matches the Rfam family "tRNA". From Rfam's summary of the family: Transfer RNA (tRNA) molecules are approximately 80 nucleotides in length. Lineage: Eukaryota; Metazoa; Arthropoda; Arachnida; Araneae; Eresidae. The record is from Rfam by way of RNAcentral.